RNAcentral lists this ribosomal RNA (275 nucleotides) under uncultured bacterium. RNAcentral describes it as "partial 16S ribosomal RNA". It matches the Rfam family "Bacterial small subunit ribosomal RNA", at positions 338 to 613 of the family's 1533-position model. The record is from RNAcentral.
CCUACGGGCGGCUGCAGUGAGGAAUAUUGGUCAAUGGGAGCAAUCCUGAACCAGCAAUGCCGCGUGUGGGAUGACGGGGCUCUGCCUUGUAAACCACUGUCGGAUGGGACGAAAGGGAGUAAGAACUCCUGGGACGGUACCAUCAAAGGAAGGGACGGCUAACUACGUGCCAGCAGCCGCGGUAAUACGUAGGUCCCAAGCGUUGUCCGGAUUCACUGGGUAUAAAGGGUGCGUAGGCGGCCUUGUGCGUCAGAGGUGAAAUAUCCGGGCUCAAC